RNAcentral lists this ribosomal RNA (459 nucleotides) under uncultured bacterium. Its description in RNAcentral is "partial 16S ribosomal RNA". It matches the Rfam family "Bacterial small subunit ribosomal RNA", at positions 338 to 795 of the family's 1533-position model. The record is from RNAcentral.
CCUACGGGAGGCAGCAGUGAGGAAUAUUGGUCAAUGGGAGAGAUCCUGAACCAGCCAAGCCGCGUGAGGGAAGACGGCCCUAUGGGUUGUAAACCUCUUUUGUCGGAGAACAAAACCCGGGACGUGUCCCGGACUGCGUGUAUCCGAAGAAAAAGCAUCGGCUAACUCCGUGCCAGCAGCCGCGGUAAUACGGAGGAUGCGAGCGUUAUCCGGAUUUAUUGGGUUUAAAGGGUGCGUAGGCGGUCCGUUAAGUCGGCGGUAAAAUGGCGGGGCUCAACCCCGUCGAGCCGUUGAAACUGGCAGACUUGAGUUGGCGAGAAGUACGCGGAAUGCGCGGUGGAGCGGUGAAAUGCAUAGAUAUCGCGCAGAACUCCGAUUGCGAAGGCAGCGUACCGGCGCCAGACUGACGCUGAGGCACGAAAGCGUGGGGAUCGAACAGGAUUAGAUACCCGGGUAGUC